AACGAACGCUGGCGGCAUGCCUAACACAUGCAAGUCGAACGAUGCCUCCGGGCAUAGUGGCGCACGGGUGCGUAACGCGUGGGAAUCUGCCCUUGGGUUCGGAAUAACUCGCCGAAAGGCGAGCUAAUACCGGAUGAUGACGUAAGUCCAAAGAUUUAUCGCCCAAGGAUGAGCCCGCGUAGGAUUAGCUAGUUGGUGGGGUAAAGGCCCACCAAGGCGACGAUCCUUAGCUGGUCUGAGAGGAUGAUCAGCCACACUGGGACUGAGACACGGCCCAGACUCCUACGGGAUGCAGGAGUGGGGAAUAUUGGACAAUGGGGGAAAUGCUGAUCCAGCAAUGCCGGGUGAGUGAUGAAGGCCUUAGGGUUGUAAAGCUCUUUUACCCGGGAUGAUAAUGACAGUACCGGGAGAAUAAGCUCCGGCUAACUCCGUG
Molecule: ribosomal RNA, 433 nt
Filed under: uncultured bacterium
Lineage: Bacteria
Description: partial 16S ribosomal RNA
Rfam family: Bacterial small subunit ribosomal RNA
Source: RNAcentral